RNAcentral lists this ribosomal RNA (449 nucleotides) under uncultured bacterium. RNAcentral's name for it is "partial 16S ribosomal RNA". It matches the Rfam family "Bacterial small subunit ribosomal RNA", at positions 29 to 523 of the family's 1533-position model. The record is from RNAcentral.
AACGAACGCUGGCGGCAGGCCUAACACAUGCAAGUCGAACGCUGUAGCAAUACAGAGUGGCAGACGGGUGAGUAACACGUGGGAAUCUUCCUAUCGGUACGGAAUAGCUCAGGGAAACUUGGGGUAAUACCGCAUACGCCCUUCGGGGGAAAGAUUUAUCGCCGAUAGAUGAGCCCGCGUCUGAUUAGCUAGUUGGUGAGGUAAUGGCUCACCAAGGCGACGAUCAGUAGCUGGUCUGAGAGGAUGACCAGCCACACUGGGACUGAGACACGGCCCAGACUCCUACGGGAGGCAGCAGUGGGGAAUAUUGGACAAUGGGCGCAAGCCUGAUCCAGCCAUGCCGCGUGGGUGACGAAGGUCUUCGGAUUGUAAAGCUCUUUUGGCGGGGACGAUAAUGACGGUACCCGCAGAAUAAGCCCCGGCUAANUUNGUGCCAGCCGCCGCCGUAA